Molecule: long non-coding RNA, 1027 nt
Organism: Dreissena polymorpha
Lineage: Eukaryota; Metazoa; Mollusca; Bivalvia; Myida; Dreissenidae
Exons: 4
Source: RefSeq, a predicted model, not a curated record
CUCGAGGUCACUUAGUGCAUUUCAAGUAUUGAGCAUGGUGUCCAAAACCUUCGAACGGGCGUAUCUUGUGACAGUUUGGCACUCUUGUUUAAAACUGACGAUGCAUGAAACUAUUUUCACUCAUAUUUUUUUAUGUAAUUUAAAUGCCAAAAUUUAGAAAAUGCAUAUGAAUGGGAAACGAAACUGUAAGUAAGUAAAUAGUGUUACAGUUACUGUACAAACAACCCAUUUUUCAAAAGAAGCGUUUUUUUUUUGUAAACUGUACUGAUGGUUUUGCUAGUUAUGCCAUAGGUUGUUAAUAACUCGCGUUUGUUCAGCUAAUUUCAUUAUUUCUUUUAUAGCCAUUAUUGUGUUAUCAUGGUCAUUGAUUUGAACAAAAACAAACUGUUAUUUUUACAGCAUCCAGUAAAAAUACCCAUAUUGUAAAUCUCACGGGUACUACUGCUCUAAUGUUUGAUCAAGAAUGCAUCUAAUGGAUAAUCAAACUAGUGGUUUCACUCAAUUGAUUUUUGCAUAUAUAGGUAGGAGUACCUAGAGAUUGAGCUGGAGACAGUGAAGGUGCUGACCUCUGUGUGGAACACUUAGAAGCUGACAAGUUUUCAUAUUGAAGGGCAUGGUUCCCAACCGCCCAUCACACACAGAAUGAAGCUUGUCGUCUUCCGCAGUAAAAACUGUACCAUUUUAAAAUGGAGGGGAUGGUGUUGGAGAUGCUUCGGAGACUAAAGGGCAACAUGGCUUGCAAGAACUUCACCAUAAUAUCCUGAAGAGGAACAUGAGCUUGUCCAGGACCACUUCGCAAGCAAUGACCCACAAGUACUGAACAUUGCUAGAACUACUCUGUGGGUAUGUUGCUGGGUGCUGGAAGAUGCUUACUGCUAUAUUGACUGCUUCCAAGCGCUUCCUGGACCUAAAAAUUAUCUCCCAGCAGCAACCUCCCCAAGGUGUGACGAGAGUCUUCAAGACUUGGAGAUCUCGCUAACUAUCAUUAGGGGACUGUACAGGGCAAGUUGCAUAACUUUGGUUGGCC